UACGGGGGGGGCAAGCGUUGUUCGGAAUUACUGGGCGUAAAGAGCGUGUAGGCGGCCAGAUAGGUCGGUUGUGAAAACUGGAGGCUUAACCUCCAGACGUCGACCGAAACCAUUCGGCUAGAGUCCGGAAGAGGAGAGUGGAAUUCCUGGUGUAGCGGUGAAAUGCGCAGAUAUCAGGAAGAACGCCCGUGGCGAAAGCGGCUCUCUGGGACGGUACUGACGCUGAGACGCGAAAGCGUGGGGAGCGAACAGG
This 253-nucleotide ribosomal RNA is filed under the name uncultured bacterium. Its description in RNAcentral is "partial 16S ribosomal RNA". It matches the Rfam family "Bacterial small subunit ribosomal RNA", at positions 524 to 776 of the family's 1533-position model. The record is from RNAcentral.